AGCAACAAAGAAAAUAUUCCUCAAACUAUAAAAAAAUAAUAAAAAUCUUACAGUCAUAUGCACAUUAGAAGUGAAAUAUAUAUGCAGAACACUCUGCAGAACCAGGGAAGUUGAUUACUUGUCCGAAUCACGAUGUAUGCUGUUUAUUGAGUGUGUGCGAAGACCUUUAAUGCCAGACUUCACAGAUCUCACUGCGGUCACGAACAAAGCCAAAGCCAUAAAUGUAACACCUGAUUUUCAGGGGAGAUGGGAAUAUGGAAAAGUGUUUGGGAAAUUCUCCUGCAAAGAUGGAAUUGAAUCUCUCAAGAGAACUAGAGAACAUUUUCUACAGCCUCCAGGCACUGGGAUGUGGCACAGGGGCAUUCCUUCAUCUCCAGGUCAGUCCAGUGCGGCCAAGACUGCUAAGCCCAUCCCUUUCCUUCAUGGGAGGAAACUCCCUCUUCUGUCACUGGACUAUACAAGAGAGGGGAGGGAAAGAGAAGAAAGAAAAAAACACCCUCUUCUGUCCACCAUUUUAGAGAGAGAAAAGGAAUUUCUCAGCUGCUCUCCUAUCUGACAUCCAAAUGGAAAAGGCAAGAGACCAGGCUGUUUCCUCAUUGCAUUAGAGGUGAGAGGAAGCAGGAUAGGAAGAGGUCAGGAAGCAGCCAACAAAAGAAAAGGUUUCCUCAAGAUGUGCCAUCUGCCAUCUGACAGGACCAUACGAGACAGGACAAAAGUGACCCUAGUCUAAAGGCUGCUCUAUGCAUAAAGUAAACAAGCAAGGGGAAGCAACCUUGGGUCUCUUUGCUGCAUUUAUACGGACAGAAGUAGCCCUACCUGCCUGCAUGUCACGCUCCUGAUUCCAGUGGAAACUGUUCCUCAUGCUCUGCAGGAUUAGGGUCUUCUGUGCUCCUCAUAACUACAGUAGCUAACAGCAUAUAGAACUAUUAUUUUUAAGUUGAACUGAUAUUAAGCAAUAAAACUCAGGAUGUCAAAGCUUUUAAGGCUCAUUUAUUUGCAAGCAGCCAAGCAGCAUACCCUGGGUUGAACCGUGGUCCAAUUUACAGUUACGCUUGGUGCUGUUCCGUGAACAUCACACCACGUUACACAAAUUGUGAAUCGACAAAUCCAUCGCUUUAAAACAAUCUGCCCAAAGCCUCACGAUGAGUCAGUGGCAGCAUCUUGUUUAUGUCUCAGACUUUGGCUUCCAUUUCAUAGCUGCUCAGUCCACCAAAUCAUAAUUGCACUGCAUCACCAAAAAUGUUAUUAUUUCUGUUCUUCUGAAAGUCCUGUUUACUUUGGUUGUUUUUGUUUGUUUGUUUGUUUUGCUUUUACUAGGGGAAGAAAAUAAAUUAAAAAGCUUCUUAACAAUUACAGUUGUGAUUUUUUUUUCAAAAAAAUUGGGAACCAACAAACUAUAUUUCUCAGCUGAUCCACAGAAAAGAUAGAAAGCCUGACCUAUUUGAACCAAAUGGACAAUAAUCCAAAGGCCUACAGAGAAAAACCACUGUGCAAGUGCCAGAGUUUUCACUACAGAUAAAGUAAUAGUAUACCUGUACUGACUUUAAAAAUACUACUUGUAGUCAGUAAGAAGUGAAAGACUUCAAAAUAAAACCCUCCUUCAAGGAACAACUUGCCACCGGUCCUUAAUCCUGCAGAAGAUCUGCAAAAACUGAGAAUAUUUUGCUUGAGUAAACAGAAUUUUAAUUGAGCAUAAACAAGUGAACAGCAGGCAUGUGAUUUCCAUAAGUAUGCAUGAUUGGAAGGAAUAAAGACUUAAAAAUCUGGGGCCAUGAAACCGAUUUCAAUUUUAAAACUCUUAUGGUUUAAAAAAAGGUAGCAUGUACAUAGAAGGCUCUUUUCAUUACAAAUGGAUUCUUUAAAACAAAUUGCCAGUGACAAAUCACCAUUUAUAAGAACUGUUUCCAAUAAGGUAGAAGUUAUCUAGCAUAGCACUAAAGAAUACAUUUAAUUUUAAGCAUGCUUACAGUUUUAUUAGAGCCAAUGGCUUUUUCCAUGCUUAAAGCCAAGCAUAUGCUCAAGUACUCUGGUGAGACAAAAGCUUACAAGUUUGUUGUUUAGAAUGCAAAGCGAGGCUUUUUAUCCCAAACCACAUUUUCUUGCAUGUAAUCAGCCGUGAUGAUGUCACCAUAGUUUCCAAUUCAUUUCAGGGCACACUCAUCAUUUAUUAGGACCCAGAUGGUGCUCUCUUUCUCUGGCUUCUGAAGGAUAUGCCCAAAUAUUAAAACAG
Cygnus olor (mute swan) is the source of this 2230-nucleotide long non-coding RNA. RefSeq lists it as uncharacterized. The record is from RefSeq and is a predicted model, not a curated record. Lineage: Eukaryota; Metazoa; Chordata; Aves; Anseriformes; Anatidae. The transcript is spliced from 2 exons.